Molecule: long non-coding RNA, 883 nt
Organism: Suricata suricatta (meerkat)
Lineage: Eukaryota; Metazoa; Chordata; Mammalia; Carnivora; Herpestidae
Exons: 6
Source: RefSeq, a predicted model, not a curated record
CUCAUUGGCGCGCGCUGCGUGUGGGGUGUGUGUGUGUGUCCGGGGGCCCCCUCCUCCGGCCCCCGCCGCGCCAGGAAUCCGAGGGGGUGGCGGGCUGGGAGCCGAGCCCCGGCGCUUACCACCCGCCCCCCGCCUUUCCCCGGCCAAGCUUGCCAGAGCCGAGGUAGCUGCCCUGCCAAGAGCCAUCCUGGGAGAGCUAUUGAAAGAGCCUGGAACUCCCAUCAGGACCAGAGAAGAUGUGAUGCCAGGAAUAUUGUGGCGAUGUGAGGGCACAAAGACGUUAAGCAGGUUGACUGAUGUCACACUGAGCAGAGGGAAAGUUUUGCCAAGUCUCACCUUUGGAGGCCACAUUUCGUUCAGCGCAUUUACUGAAUAUCUACGAUGUGCCUGGCUAUGCGGUGAAGAAGGGAAAGCACAUUCCCUGCUUUUUCAGGACAAUUGAAGAAUGCUGACGUGCACGGAUCAUGGUUUUCCAGGUGCCAACUCAGCCUUCAAAAUGUGUGGUGUGGGGGAAAAUCAUGAAAAACAGGUGUGGAUUUCUAAGUGGUCCCAAACUGGGUAGAGACUACCCUUGUGAAAGUCCACGCAGCGCUCCAAUUCCCUGUCUCUGUCAAUCAUGUGGAAUGGAAGAAGCUGAGUUCAGAAGCAAACUUGUGAAGAAAUUUCUCCCCAUUUGUGUCUUGUGAACCUUGAUUUUUCUCCUCCAAGGAGGGAGAGAAGGACCAUGUUGGGAGUGAGAGGCUCUCGCAAGCCAAUUCCAGGAACAGUUAUGAGCAUGUGGGGCCUGUUGCAAAGGCUGCCUGGGACAGGGUACCCGGCUCUCAAACUGCCCACACUGCCAUGGAGUGGACUGGAGGUAGCUGAAUAAAAUAUUACAAAACUA